UGUCUCCUCUGAAAUACAGUCCAUCCACCACCAUCAGUCUCCAUAUCACAAUAAACCUGUUAAUGGAAUAUAUAUAGUUUAUUAAAGUGGGAGUCAUUUUGUAUACUUGAAAAGUCUGCUCCAAUGGAUGCUACCCUCCCCUGGGAUCAAAUGAAGCUCAUAUUACAAAGAUACGAAGAAGACAUGAAGCAGCUGAUAGUGGAUCCCUGUCCCUCAUGCAUCGUACCAGUCCCUCAGAUAUGCAUUGGUGGGCAUGA
This is a long non-coding RNA of Amphimedon queenslandica, 257 nucleotides long. RefSeq lists it as uncharacterized. NCBI's taxonomy places the organism in Eukaryota, Metazoa, Porifera, Demospongiae, Haplosclerida, Niphatidae. The transcript is spliced from 3 exons. The record is from RefSeq and is a predicted model, not a curated record.